Molecule: ribosomal RNA, 253 nt
Filed under: uncultured bacterium
Lineage: Bacteria
Description: partial 16S ribosomal RNA
Rfam family: Bacterial small subunit ribosomal RNA
Source: RNAcentral
UACAGAGGGUGCGAGCGUUGUUCGGAAUCAUUGGGCGUAAAGGGCGUGUAGGCGGUUUGUUAAGUCAUGUGUGAAAUCCCUCGGCUCAACCGGGGAAGGACGCAUGAAACUGGCAAGCUAGAGUACCAAAGAGGGGGGUGGAAUUCCACGUGUAGCGGUGAAAUGCGUAGAUAUGUGGAGGAACACCAGUGGCGAAGGCGACUCUCUGGUCUGUAACUGACGCUGAGGCGCGAAAGCGUGGGGAGCAAACAGG